Molecule: transfer RNA, 85 nt
Filed under: Nocardia macrotermitis
Lineage: Bacteria; Bacillati; Actinomycetota; Actinomycetes; Mycobacteriales; Nocardiaceae
Description: tRNA-Leu
Rfam family: tRNA
About the family: Transfer RNA (tRNA) molecules are approximately 80 nucleotides in length.
Source: RNAcentral
GCGCGAGUGGCGAAAUUGGCAGACGCGCUGGAUUUAGGUUCCAGUGUCCUAACAGACGUAGGGGUUCAAAUCCCCUCUCGCGCAC